This 680-nucleotide unclassified non-coding RNA is filed under the name Leishmania donovani. RNAcentral describes it as "gene:unknown". Lineage: Eukaryota; Euglenozoa; Kinetoplastea; Trypanosomatida; Trypanosomatidae. The record is from RNAcentral.
CUCACACGGCACUCAAGCACGCCUCACCGCACACAUAUCUUCAUGAGCGCUUGCACUGCCUAUCCUUGUGCACGGUCGUCAUGUGCGUCUUGUGUGCCAUAGACGCCUUCCUAUCGCGCGCACGUGUGCGCUCGAGUCGGCGGACUGGGAAGGUAAAGCACCGCGAGCAUCGACUGUUGCUGUAGUGGCGCCGCCCUCAUCCUUACGUUCUGUGUUUCUGCUGUACGAUUCGUUUUCGCCUCUCCCUUCCUGUGAAAAUUCUUUUCGUUGUUUCGUGUCGCACUGCAUGCGAACGCCGGCGCUACGGAGCGAGUGGUGAGCGUCUGUGUGCGUCUCGGGCGUGGACUCGUUUGCGCUUGCAUUGCUUGCCUGCGCACUCCAUAAUAAUGGCACGAGUAAUAAGGAGCACGCUGCCCAAGGUGCGCAGUUAAAGCGAAAUGACAGACAGCUGUAAUGAAGGUGCGCGUGCAUAACACUACUAAACACAUGCAGACACUUUCGUACACGUAGACACGUGCCACGCGAACCGCCCUUAUCCCUACAAACAUCGCCGCCCUUUCUUCUCUCUCUCGCAUCGUCUUCCUGAACACCUCUCUCUGCCCCUUUUAUGCGCCUUCUGCUGCCCACUGCGAUCAUCAUCCGUCAGCCCGCCGCAUUCUGUGUGCGCGCGCGUGUGUGCC